Hylaeus anthracinus is the source of this 1558-nucleotide long non-coding RNA. RefSeq lists it as uncharacterized. Lineage: Eukaryota; Metazoa; Arthropoda; Insecta; Hymenoptera; Colletidae. The record is from RefSeq and is a predicted model, not a curated record. The transcript has 3 exons.
UAAUACAGAAAUAAAAAAAUUCGUUUGCAAUAUAUUCCAAGAACUGUAUGCACAACAUUAGCGGUAGUUAUAAUGAAGUUAUAUUGUCGUUACAAUACCAUUAUAAUAUAAUUAUAAUUGUAAUUAUAAAAUAUAUAAAAAAAAAUCUUAAACGUUGUAAUAGUUACAAAUUUAAAAAGUGCUUUAAAAACAUGUCCUAGAGCAUUUAUAUGAACCAUUACUGAUAGACAUAACGAAACUGAAUCAUCAUAAUAUGUAGAUAACAGAUAUCUUAAUUGCAAUAAUAAUUAUAAGAUUAUUUAACUAUUCCGGAGUAUUAAAAAAAUAUGAUAUAAAACCAAAUGAAAGUAGAACGUCGAUUUUUGUAAAAAUAAUAAAUCUCUUAAUCAUCAUAAAAAUUCCAAGGUUUUUUAACAAAAUAUACCAAAUAUGUAAUAUAAAAUAUAGUGAAGAAAAUAAUGAAAGUACAUCACAAUCGGUGAGAAUAGUGAAUAGACUCUUCAACUAUUCUAAACAUUCUAUACAAGGACGUAAUAAAAGUAGAUAAAAAAAGAGCAAGUGAAUAUUUAAUUUUCCAUAGAAUCGUUCGAAAAAUCAAACAAUUUUCAAUUUUGCUAAGAAUAGCAAAUUUGUUGGAGAACACUAUCGUUUACGCGUGUAUUGUGAAAAAGUGAAAAGGUGCGCACGGAAUUCAUUAAGACGAGCCCAGUGGAAGUAAAAAUAUUUAAAUUGCUGGAAUGCAGUGUCAUCAAUGCUGACGAACAUUGGCGGACGACGUGAAAUGAAAUGUUGAAAAUUUGCCCCGAGGUCUGGGCUGAAGAAUUUCAAGUAAUGGGACGGUCACGUGUGAAGUGAAAGGGUGUAUCAAAGAGACGAUAAUGCGCGAGAAUGAACGCGAGGGAAGUGAGCACGUCCGUUUUAAACGAAAUUAGGCUCAAAGGGUGCAAUUGGAUCACUUUUCUCACCAGCAACAGCAUUUACGUUGGCAGCAAGGAUUGGCUUUGCGAAAAUUGCUAUCGACCUUUGGAGUCGCGGUCACGUGCGUUUUGCAGAAAUUGCACGGCGAUAUCGACGCGGGUGAGCGCAACGAGUGGGGUAGAUUUGAGAAAAGAAGCGGUACGAUUAGUUAUUGUGCGUCAAUGAAUCCGACAACUGCAGAUGGAAUAGAAAUGUAGCGACUCCGAUGCGAUAAUCGGAUAGUUUACAAGAACAGUAUAUCUCAGUAAAGGGUAACCGCAGGUUCGGGUAUUUUGAUUGUUUGGUUAUUGGAGUCAAGUGCAACGACUCUGGCGAAUAGUCAGAAACUAGCAGGAUCAAUAACUCCCAGUAAACGGUAAAAAAUGACAAAUCACAAAAUGUUUUGUUUACGGGACCUACUGGAAGAAGUAUUCUACAAGAUGCAAGAGGUUUCACUCCGAUUUAUCAAGUCAUCUCGACGUAAUCGUCAAAGAUACCUAAAAAUUACGGUUUUUUGUUAAAAAGAAAAAAUGGGUAAAAAAUAACAAAUUGCAAAAAGUCUUAAUAGCGGGACCGCCGGGAUGACAUGCUUUACAAGAUG